This 257-nucleotide long non-coding RNA is filed under the name Pan troglodytes (chimpanzee). Its description in RNAcentral is "long non-coding RNA NONPTRT002351". Lineage: Eukaryota; Metazoa; Chordata; Mammalia; Primates; Hominidae. The record is from RNAcentral.
UGUAUACUUCAAAGUAUUUUCAAAGUAUUUUAAAUAGUAAGUCCUAUGUGAACUUGACUACAAUGAAAAAAAUGAAAGCCAAAAUCCUUGAGCACCUCCCCAUGUCAGCUAGUCCCCUCCCAAGACUAGAGGUCAGAGGGCAUGUCCUAUCUGGGUCACAGGGAUGCACUUGGAUGCUGACAUUAUUAUGCUUUUGGACAGGAUGAGAGAUGGGAGGCAGGAGAGGCUCUCUAUAAUAAUUUGUCUAGGUUCCAAGG